This 75-nucleotide transfer RNA is filed under the name Staphylococcus aureus. RNAcentral's name for it is "tRNA-Asn". It matches the Rfam family "tRNA". From Rfam's summary of the family: Transfer RNA (tRNA) molecules are approximately 80 nucleotides in length. Their secondary structure includes four short double-helical elements and three loops (D, anti-codon, and T loops). The record is from RNAcentral. Lineage: Bacteria; Bacillati; Bacillota; Bacilli; Caryophanales; Staphylococcaceae.
UCCACAGUGGCUCAGUGGUAGAGCUAUCGGCUGUUAACCGAUCGGUCGUAGGUUCGAGUCCUACCUGUGGAGCCA